Molecule: ribosomal RNA, 229 nt
Filed under: uncultured bacterium
Lineage: Bacteria
Description: partial 16S ribosomal RNA
Rfam family: Archaeal small subunit ribosomal RNA
Source: RNAcentral
UCCGUAGCCGGUUUGAUCAGUCUUUUGGGAAAUCUGACAGCUUAACUGUUAGGCUUCCAAAGGAUACUGUCAGACUUGGGACCGGAGAGGUAAGAGGUACUACAGGGGUAGGAGUGAAAUCUUGUAAUCCCUGUGGGACCACCAGUGGCGAAGGCGUCUUACCAGAACGGGUCCGACGGUGAGGGACGAAAGCUGGGGGCACGAACAGGAUUAGAUACCCUGGUAGUCC